AUUGAACGCUGGCGGCAGGCCUAACACAUGCAAGUCGAGCGCGAAAGCACUUCGGUGUGAGUAGAGCGGCGGACGGGUGAGUAAUGCUUGGGAAUCUGCCCAGUAGUGGGGGAUAACGUGUGGAAACGCACGCUAAUACCGCAUACGUCCUACGGGAGAAAGCAGGGGAUCUUCGGACCUUGCGCUAUUGGAUGAGCCCAAGUCGGAUUAGCUAGUUGGUGGGGUAAUGGCCUACCAAGGCGACGAUCCGUAGCUGGUCUGAGAGGAUGAUCAGCCACACUGGGACUGAGACACGGCCCAGACUCCUACGGGAGGCAGCAGUGGGGAAUAUUGCACAAUGGGCGAAAGCCUGAUGCAGCCAUGCCGCGUGUGUGAAGAAGGCUCUAGGGUUGUAAAGCACUUUCAGUAGGGAGGAAAUGUUGUUGAUUAAUACUCAACAAUCUUGACGUUACCUACAGAAGAAGCACCGGCAAACUCCGUGCCAGCAGCCGCGGUAAUACGGAGGGUGCGAGCGUUAAUCGGAAUUACUGGGCGUAAAGCGCGCGUAGGUGGUUUGAUAAGCUAGCUGUGAAAGCCCCGGGCUUAACCUGGGAACUGCAGUUAGAACUGUCUGACUAGAGUACAGUAGAGGGUGGCGGAAUUUCCUGUGUAGCGGUGAAAUGCGUAGAUAUAGGAAGGAACAUCAGUGGCGAAGGCGGCCACCUGGACUGAUACUGACACUGA
Molecule: ribosomal RNA, 723 nt
Filed under: gamma proteobacterium IMCC14331
Lineage: Bacteria; Pseudomonadati; Pseudomonadota; Gammaproteobacteria
Description: bacterial SSU rRNA
Rfam family: Bacterial small subunit ribosomal RNA
Source: RNAcentral